This 270-nucleotide ribosomal RNA is filed under the name uncultured prokaryote. RNAcentral's name for it is "partial 16S ribosomal RNA". It matches the Rfam family "Archaeal small subunit ribosomal RNA", at positions 474 to 743 of the family's 1478-position model. The record is from RNAcentral.
UACCAGCAGUCCAAGUCGUAGCCACAAUUAUUGGGUCUAAAACAUCCGUAGCUUGUUUCAUAAGUCUCUUGUGAAAUUCUGUCUCUCAAGAACAGAGCGAGCAAGAGAUACUGUGUUACUAGAGUCCGGAGGAUGUGAGGAGUACGGCCGAGGUAGUAGUAAAAUGCGUUAAUCUUGGUUGGACUAACAAUAGCGAAGGCACCUCACAACUACGGAUCUGACAGUGAGGGAUGAAGGCUAGGGGCGCAAAACGGAUUAGAUACCCGCGUA